CCUACGGGAGGCAGCAGUGAGGAAUAUUGGACAAUGGGCGCAAGCCUGAUCCAGCCAUGCCGCGUGCAGGAAGACGGUCCUAUGGAUUGUAAACUGCUUUUAUACAGGAAGAAACACCUCUACGUGUAGAGACUUGACGGUACUGUAUGAAUAAGCAUCGGCUAACUCCGUGCCAGCAGCCGCGGUAAUACGGAGGAUGCAAGCGUUAUCCGGAAUCAUUGGGUUUAAAGGGUCCGUAGGCGGUUUAAUAAGUCAGUGGUGAAAGCCCAUCGCUCAACGAUGGAACGGCCAUUGAUACUGUUAAACUUGAAUUAUUAGGAAGUAACUAGAAUAUGUAGUGUAGCGGUGAAAUGCUUAGAGAUUACAUGGAAUACCAAUUGCGAAGGCAGGUUACUACUAAUAUAUUGACGCUGAUGGACGAAAGCGUGGGGAGCGAACAGGAUUAGAUACCCUGGUAGUCCACGCCGUAAACGAUGGAUACUAGCUGUUCGGAGCAAUCUGAGUGGCUAAGCGAAAGUGAUAAGUAUCCCACCUGGGGAGUACGUUCGCAAGAAUGAAACUUAAGGAAUUGACGGCGAGAGAGAGCGAGACGACGACGAGGGAGGAGG
Molecule: ribosomal RNA, 608 nt
Filed under: uncultured bacterium
Lineage: Bacteria
Description: bacterial SSU rRNA
Rfam family: Bacterial small subunit ribosomal RNA
Source: RNAcentral